RNAcentral lists this ribosomal RNA (270 nucleotides) under uncultured bacterium. RNAcentral's name for it is "partial 16S ribosomal RNA". It matches the Rfam family "Bacterial small subunit ribosomal RNA", at positions 88 to 354 of the family's 1533-position model. The record is from RNAcentral.
CCGGCGACCGGCGCACGGGUGAGUAACACGUAUGCAACCUGGCCGUGACAGAUGGAUAACCGGGAGAAAUCCCGCCUAAUACAACAUAAUGCCGGGAGGGGACAUCCCCUGCCGGCCAAAGGGGGCGACCCCGGUCACGGAUGGGCAUGCGGCGCAUUAGGUAGUUGGUGGGGCAACGGCCCACCAAGCCGACGAUGCGUAGGGGUUCUGAGAGGAAGGUCCCCCACAUUGGAACUGAGACACGGCCCAAACUCCUACGGAAGGCAGCAG